RNAcentral lists this transfer RNA (73 nucleotides) under Lepisosteus oculatus (spotted gar). It matches the Rfam family "tRNA". Rfam says of the family: Transfer RNA (tRNA) molecules are approximately 80 nucleotides in length. Their secondary structure includes four short double-helical elements and three loops (D, anti-codon, and T loops). The record is from Rfam by way of RNAcentral. Lineage: Eukaryota; Metazoa; Chordata; Actinopteri; Semionotiformes; Lepisosteidae.
UGUUGACUAGCUUUGCUGGUAGUGCAUGAGACUCACAAUCUCAGGGCAGUGGGUUCGUGUCCCACGUCGGUUC